Molecule: long non-coding RNA, 3732 nt
Organism: Carassius gibelio (silver crucian carp)
Lineage: Eukaryota; Metazoa; Chordata; Actinopteri; Cypriniformes; Cyprinidae
Exons: 10
Source: RefSeq, a predicted model, not a curated record
AUUAAUCAGAAAUAACUGUUCAGCUUUUGUCAAGAAGAAGAAAAUUCAUGAGGCUUGGCGUCCUCGCGCUCCUGCUGUUUGCGCGCAUGCGCGUGGAAGAGCGAUUUCAAAUACAAGGAAGUAACGGCUCCUUUCCUCAAAGAAAGAAACACCCGCUGCGCAAGCUGCGAUGCUUACGAGUCUAAUGCACUUUGUGGGACGAAAUGGAGACUACAAACACAAGAAAAUCCAGUAUGACUUCUCUAAAAGUCUCAAAGGAUUCACAGAACAGCACUAUCAGUUAAUAAAGAAAUGUGUCUCUGUAGUGGACACCUGUGAGGCAGAGGACAGACAGCUGCUGAAGUCUGAUGCUGGCUGACAAUAAACAGACCUCUCUGGACGUACCCCAUCUUUUGUAGAGUAAUUCUAACAUUGCCCUUCCUGUAAAAUGAUGAUCCUGCUGUCCUGGAUGUAUAUGAUGAGCCUACACAUAAUCUCAGAACAGCUGUGGUAAUAGCAGGAGACCCAUUUGGUGAGAGCAGCACUGCAGUCUUUCCUGAUGGAGGAGACCAUGGACCAUUUCCAUAAGACUGAUGAUGUGUUUCAGCGGCCAUCAGCAUCCAGGGAAGCCAUACAUUCGCACACCUUCCUCUGACCGAGUGGAGCAUCCCCAUGCAGCACAGCAAACCAUGGUGGAGACUAUGCAAGGACAACAUGAAAGAAAGGACACAUACAAAAUGCUUGAUCAAAUGUAUAUCAAGUGAUAUCCAUCCUCAUAGAACCUCCACAAAUAGAGCACUUCUGGAGAGACAGUUAAACUCUGGAUGCAGACUGGAACUUCUGAGCACCAUCACCUUGUCUGCUUUGGGACUGCAAUGAAUGAUACAGUACUUUUCUGUGUUGAAUUUACAUAACAUCAGUACACAGACAUAGUUUUGUUCCAGUUUUGCUGUGCUUAUGCCUUCUUUGUGUCCCCAGCCCAGCAAUCAGAUGCAUCAAAACAACAAAGCACAACUGUCGUGGUCCAGGCACCUUCAGCAACAAAUCAAAUGUAUAUCAAGUGAUAUCCAUCCUCAUAGAACCUCCACAAAUAGAGCACUUCUGGAGAGACAGUUAAACUCUGGAUGCAGACUGGAACUUCUGAGCACCAUCACCUUGUCUGCUUUGGGACUGCAAUGAAUGAUACAGUACUUUUCUGUGUUGAAUUUACAUAACAUCAGUACACAGACAUAGUUUUGUUCCAGUUUUGCUGUGCUUAUGCCUUCUUUGUGUCCCCAGCCCAGCAAUCAGAUGCAUCAAAACAACAAAGCACAACUGUCGUGGUCCAGGCACCUUCAGCAACAAGUAAAUUGCUUUAACGUUAAUGAUAAUGCAAUGCCAGUCAUGUAAUGACUUGACCCAUCUGAUGUAAUUGUUCAUGCCGGAGAUUGAACAACAUUGUCAAUCAGGAGUAUUUUCAACAGGAGGCACACUUCAGCUGGCUUGAUAGUGACUUCAAUAGUAUGGGAUCAGAAUCCCUGCAUUUGUUUUUCAGUUUUGUGCUUUAUUAUUUUACACGUGUUUUUAAUUUAGAUAGAUAGAAAUAGUCAGAUAGAUAGAUAGAUAGAUAGAUAGAUAGAUAGAUAGAUUAGAUGAGUUUGAAUGAGUUUAAAUUGAUUAGCAUCAAAGCUUGAUUGAGUCUAAUGGGAUUUGGAGCUUGGGUCAUCUGAACAUCCUGUCAAUGAAAGUCUAUGGGAUUUUUAUGACUUUUUAAUAUAAAUUUUUAAGAAAACCGUAACUUAAACCAGUCUGAAAAGAUAUAGCACCCUAAAUCAGAACAGUAUGAACGUCUGACCCGAGUUUGGAGUAUGUAGCUUGAACGGUCUAGGAGGAGUUAGUGUGCAAAAAAUUUGCGGCCAGAAGAAGAAGAAGAAGAAGAAGAAGAAGAAGAAGAAGAAGAAGUUUAAAUAGGAUUUCAGUAAGUUGGCUUUCUCAAGCCAACUUAAAGGGGGGGGGGGGGUGAAAUGCUAUUUCAUGCAUACUGAGUUUUUUACACUGUUAAAGAGUUGGAUUCCCAUGCUAAACAUGGACAAAGUUUCAAAAAUUAAGUUGUACGUUUGAAGAUGCUAAGCCCCGAGUUUUACAUUGUAGGUUAGAGAAAUCGAAAACUGAAACGACCGCGGAAAUGGGAAACGAGACACGGGAUGCAAUUCGCUCUGUUAUGGAGAACAUUCAACUCUUUUUCAAACUGCAAAAGUCGUUUACAGCCAUGUUCACUCCGGUAUUUCGCUCGCAUCAUCAUGUGUUUACAACAGGUUUACAGUGAAAGUUCAAUCAUAGAUUUGAGUUCGAUGCAUGAUGUCUGUGCUUCGAUGCGGCUGUACAGGGGCAUAACAUACGUCAUAACUAAACGUAUCUGAUUGGCUUACGGGUAACCAAUAAUUUUAAACUUCAGACAAGCGCCCCCUAGCGAGAGAGAAAACACUUCUUUAUUAUGCCAUUCCAGACUCUGUCUACGAAGCAAAGUGAAGUAUUAGAGUCUGGUAUUACCAGGCUAAUAUGUUUUGCGUUUAGGUGAUACUUGAGGCUCGAUGUGCUGCUGUGGUGAAAUGCGAACGCUAGUUGGUGCUCCAGUAUAAUCGGUCCGCCAGAACUCAUCCAGUGAGAAACGUUCUGCGGUGCAAAAAUAAGUUAUUAAAGAUGCGGGAAUUUUUUUUUCUGUAAUUAAUUAAUCUUAAUUAACGCCUUAUUUUUUGUGUAAUUAAUUAAUCUCGAUUAACGCGUUAAAGUCCCGGCCCUAGUACUUAUUCUAAAUGUUACUAGUAUGAUUUUUUAUUUUACUAGUAAUUUUUUUGGUUGAACUCUACUAUAGUCAUUUGGACUAGUCAUAACAUAAGACGAGUAAAAAAGCAGAUCUGACUAGUAAGAUAAGAAUAGUUACUAGUAGUGAUUAAAAAAGGUACUAGUAUCUAAAGAAUAAGAGCUAGUACCUAAUGAAUAACUAUUAGUAUCUAUUAAAGGCCGUGUUGCAAGGUUAAUUUUUUAACGAAUUUGUAAAAUAUGCUUGUUGGUAAUAAACAUUUAAACUGUUAUCCAUUGUAUUUUAUGUUGUUGGGUAUCACAAAACGGAAUAUAAUACGAAAAAGUAGAUACUAUCUUACAGCGGUCUCCUUUCCCCCACAAUGCAUUGCAUCACGUCACUUUGGGGAGAGAAUUUACCAAAGCACGCCUUGAGAGCAUUGAGAGUGACUAGAGAGACGAGUAGUAGACGACAGUAUUCAGAUAGCGCCGAUUAUAGAUAAAUAGAUAAAUACAUAGAUAUAUAUAGAUGGAUAGACUACAUAUAUAGAUAGAUAGAUAGACAGACAGAUAGAUAGACAGACAGAUAGAUACAGAGAUAUCAACCAACAGCGACCCAAACGGACUCGCUUCCCUACAGCACAAGCUCUUCAGCGCAGUUUCCAUGGGACAGCACCACCCACACAAGCACGUGCCAAACACAGCGACACACACGCGGCUACGUUUGUAACAACAUUUUCACCGAAGGAAGAGAUAAACGCUUAGAAACAUCCAUAUAGCUUGCAUGAUGCCUUCUAUUUCUAGAUGACGAAGACAAAGUUUCCAGUACUACGACGCUAUGACAAAGGUUACCGGUAACGUUACUUAUCUGAACUAACGUCAUGAUCACUGCCACGAGAUAUAAAGAAAACGUUGAUUUUUUUCACUCUGUGCAUCUCAAUGACAGUAAAAAAUAAAUAAAAUAAAAUAUAUAUA